Molecule: ribosomal RNA, 253 nt
Filed under: uncultured bacterium
Lineage: Bacteria
Description: partial 16S ribosomal RNA
Rfam family: Bacterial small subunit ribosomal RNA
Source: RNAcentral
UACAGAGGUGGCAAGCGUUGUUCGGAAUUACUGGGCGUAAAGGGAGCGUAGGCGGGCUCUUAAGUUGGAUGUUUAAAACCGGGGCCCAACCCCGGCGUGGCAUCCAAAACUGGGAGUCUUGAAUGGAACAGAGGCUAGUGGAAUUGGAGGUGUAGCGGUGGAAUGCGUAGAGAUCUCCAAGAACACCCGUUGCGAAGGCGGCUAGCUGGGUUCACAUUGACGCUGAGGCUCGAAAGCGUGGGGAGCAAACAGG